UUACCAUGCAGUCGAACGAUGAUGCCCUGCUUGCAGGGUGGAUUAGUGGCGAACGGGUGAGUAACACGUGGGUGAUCUGCCCCGCACUUCGGGAUAAGCCUGGGAAACUGGGUCUAAUACCGGAUACGACCCCCUGGUAGGUCAGGGGGUGGAAAGAUUUUAUCGGUGUGGGAUGAGCCUGCGGCCUAUCAGCUUGUUGGUGGGGUAAUGGCCUACCAAGGCGUCGACGGGUAGCCGGCCUGAGAGGGUGAUCGGCCACAUUGGGACUGAGACACGGCCCAGACUCCUACGGGAGGCAGCAGUGGGGAAUAUUGCACAAUGGGCGCAAGCCUGAUGCAGCGACGCCGCGUGGGGGAUGACGGCCUUCGGGUUGUAAACUCCUUUCGACAGGGACGAAGCUUAUGUGACGGUACCUGUAGAAGAAGCACCGGCUAACUACGUGCCAGCAGCCGCGGUAAUACGUAGGGUGCGAGCGUUGUCCGGAAUUACUGGGCGUAAAGAGCUCGUAGGUGGUUUGUCGCGUCGUCUGUGAAAUCCCGGGGCUUAACCUCGGGCGUGCAGGCGAUACGGGCAUAACUUGAGUGCUGUAGGGGAGACUGGAAUUCCUGGUGUAGCGGUGAAAUGCGCAGAUAUCAGGAGGAACACCAAUGGCGAAGGCAGGUCUCUGGGCAGUAACUGACGCUGAGGAGCGAAAGCAUGGGUAGCGAACAGGAUUAGAUACCCUGGUAGUCCAUGCCGUAAACGGUGGGCGCUAGGUGUAGGGGACUUCCACGUCUUCUGUGCCGCAGCUAACGCAUUAA
This 800-nucleotide ribosomal RNA is filed under the name Corynebacterium sp. YIM 103096. RNAcentral describes it as "bacterial SSU rRNA". It matches the Rfam family "Bacterial small subunit ribosomal RNA", at positions 49 to 863 of the family's 1533-position model. Lineage: Bacteria; Bacillati; Actinomycetota; Actinomycetes; Mycobacteriales; Corynebacteriaceae. The record is from RNAcentral.